ACGUACACUCCUGCGGGAGGCAGCAGUGGGGAAUAUUGCACAAUGGGCGCAAGCCUGAUGCAGCGACGCCGCGUGGGGGAUGAAGGCCUUCGGGUUGUAAACUCCUUUCGCUAGGGACGAAGCUUUUUUGUGACGGUACCUAGAUAAGAAGCACCGGCUAACUACGUGCCAGCAGCCGCGGUAAUACGUAGGGUGCGAGCGUUGUCCGGAAUUACUGGGCGUAAAGGGCUCGUAGGUGGUUUGUCGCGUCGUCUGUGAAAUUCUGGGGCUUAACUCCGGGCGUGCAGGCGAUACGGGCAUAACUUGAGUGCUGUAGGGGUAACUGGAAUUCCUGGUGUAGCGGUGAAAUGCGCAGAUAUCAGGAGGAACACCGAUGGCGAAGGCAGGUUACUGGGCAGUUACUGACGCUGAGGAGCGAAAGCAUGGGUAGCGAACAGGAUUAGAAACCCCGGUAGUCCCAUG
This 462-nucleotide ribosomal RNA is filed under the name uncultured organism. RNAcentral describes it as "partial 16S ribosomal RNA". It matches the Rfam family "Bacterial small subunit ribosomal RNA", at positions 329 to 799 of the family's 1533-position model. The record is from RNAcentral.